RNAcentral lists this non-coding RNA (289 nucleotides) under Gossypium arboreum. RNAcentral describes it as "Eukaryotic large subunit ribosomal RNA". It matches the Rfam family "Eukaryotic large subunit ribosomal RNA", at positions 327 to 617 of the family's 3401-position model. The record is from Rfam by way of RNAcentral. Lineage: Eukaryota; Viridiplantae; Streptophyta; Magnoliopsida; Malvales; Malvaceae.
CGAGAGACCGAUAGCGAACAAGUACCGCGAGGAAAAGAUGAAAAGGACUUUGAAAAGAGAGUCAAAGAGUGCUUCAAAUUGUCGGGAGGGAAGCGAAUGGGGGCCGGGGAUACGCCCCGGUCGGAUGUGGAACGGCGAGAGCCGGUUCUCCGAUCGGCUCGGGGCGUGGACCGACGCGGGUCGUGGCGGUGGCCCAAGCCCGGGCCUUUGAUACACCUAUGGAGACGUCGUCGCCUCGAUCGUGGGAUCCAGCACGCGCCGUCUCGGCGUGCUUCGGCACCUGCGUGCU